Molecule: ribosomal RNA, 448 nt
Filed under: uncultured soil bacterium
Lineage: Bacteria
Description: bacterial SSU rRNA
Rfam family: Bacterial small subunit ribosomal RNA
Source: RNAcentral
GGAACGAACGCUGGCGGCAGGCCUAACACAUGCAAGUCGAACGCUCUUUUCGGAGAGAGUGGCGCACGGGUGAGUAACGCGUGGGAAUCUGCCCUUUGGUUCGGAAUAACCCUGGGAAACUAGGGCUAACACCGGAUAAGCCCCGCGAGGGGGAAAGUUUACGCCGAAGGAGGAGCCCGCGUCCGAUUAGCUAGUUGGUGAGGUAAGAGCUCACCAAGGCUACGAUCGGUAGCUGGUCUGAGAGGACGAUCAGCCACACUGGGACUGAGACACGGCCCAGACUCCUACGGGAGGCAGCAGUGGGGAAUAUUGGACAAUGGGCGCAAGCCUGAUCCAGCCAUGCCGCGUGAGUGAUGAAGGCCUUCGGGUUGUAAAGCUCUUUUGGCGGGACGAUGAUGACGGUACCCGCAGAAUAACGCCCCGGACAAACUUCGUGCCAGCGAGCCGC